This is an RNA transcript of Manihot esculenta (cassava), 2292 nucleotides long. It is a transcript of the gene named 2-isopropylmalate synthase 2, chloroplastic, with no coding region annotated. Lineage: Eukaryota; Viridiplantae; Streptophyta; Magnoliopsida; Malpighiales; Euphorbiaceae. The transcript is spliced from 13 exons. The record is from RefSeq and is a predicted model, not a curated record.
AUACCAGUUAAACCUCGUUUUUCAAUUUGCUAGGAUUUAUCAUCCGUCUCUUUCUUCUCUUCAUCCUCAUCUCUCCUCUUCUUCUUCAAUGGCGUCUAUCUCCGCGCCACCCAAUUUCUCUGUCUCUCAAAUCACUUCCAAAUCUCGACAUCUCUCUCCUUCUCUUCUCCGCUUCACUUCUAAAGCCUUCCAUUUCCCUUCAAAUCCUUCGUUUUCCUCUCAAUCUUCCAUUCGUUUAAUCAAGAGUAUCAUUUCCUGCUCCAAAUCUUCUUCCGCAGCCCCUUCUCCGGCCGUACCUUUUCCUCGCCGCCGUCCUCAGUACAUUCCUAACCACAUCCCUGACCCUUCCUAUGUCCGUAUAUUCGACACCACUCUCCGCGACGGCGAGCAGUCCCCCGGCGCCACCCUUACCUCAAAGGAAAAGCUUGAUAUCGCUCGACAGCUGUCGAAGCUUGGUGUUGACAUUAUUGAGGCUGGAUUCCCUGCUGCUUCCAAGGAUGAUUUUGAGGCGGUGAAAACGAUUGCUAUGGAAGUGGGAAAUGCCGUUGAUGAGGAUGGUUAUGUGCCGGUGAUUUGUGGAUUAUCGAGGUGUAAUGAGAAGGAUAUUAGGACUGCGUGGGAGGCUGUGAAAUACGCCAAGAGGCCAAGGAUUCACACUUUCAUCGCCACUAGUGAGAUCCAUAUGCAGUACAAGUUGAGGAAGAGUAAAGAGGAAGUCUUGGAGAUUGCUAGGAGCAUGGUUAGAUUCGCCAGGAGUUUGGGGUGUGAUGAUGUCGAGUUUAGCCCGGAGGAUGCUGGCAGAUCUGAAAGAGAGUUCUUGUAUCAGAUCUUGGGUGAAGUUAUCAAGGCUGGUGCGACAACUCUGAACAUACCUGAUACUGUUGGGAUAACAUUGCCUAGUGAAUUUGGACAGUUGAUAGCUGAUAUAAAAGCCAAUACUCCUGGAAUAGAAAAUGUCAUUAUUUCAACACACUGCCAAAAUGAUCUAGGACUUUCUACAGCUAACACAUUAGCAGGAGCAUAUGCAGGUGCAAGACAACUUGAAGUAACAGUCAAUGGAAUUGGUGAAAGAGCUGGAAAUGCUUCAUUGGAGGAGGUUGUAAUGGCCAUAAAAUGUCGUGGAGAGAAUGUUCUAGGAGGUCUUUAUACUGGAAUCAAUCCUAAACACAUCACUAUGGCAAGCAAGAUGGUAGAAGAAUACACUGGAUUGCAGUUGCAGCCACACAAGGCUAUUGUCGGGGCCAAUGCUUUUGCUCAUGAAAGUGGCAUACAUCAGGAUGGAAUGCUAAAACAUAAAGGUACAUAUGAGAUUAUAUCUCCUGAAGAUAUUGGGCUUGAACGAACCAAUGAUGCUGGGAUUGUCCUUGGAAAACUCAGUGGUCGCCAUGCUUUGAAAGAUCGACUAAAAGAGCUCGGUUAUGAAUUGAAUGAUGAGCAACUUGGCAAUAUCUUUUGGUCUUUCAAGGCUGUAGCUGAACAGAAAAAGAGAGUUACUGAUGCAGACCUGAUAGCAUUGGUGUCGGAUGAAGUUUUUCAGCCUGAAAUUGUAUGGAAGCUUAGUGAUUUGCAGGUUACUUGUGGAACACUUGGUCUCUCAACUGCAACGGUUAAACUAAUUGAUGCUGAUGGCGAAGAGCACAUUGCAUGCUCUGUCGGACAUGGGCCGGUGGAUGCAGGAUACAAAGCUGUUGAUCUCAUUGUGAAGGAAGCAGUUGAACUCCUCGAGUACUCCAUGAAUGCUGUUACAGAAGGCAUAGACGCAAUAGCCACUACCCGUGUUGUAAUUCGUGGAGAGAAUCAUCACAUAACUAAUGCUUUAACAGGCCAACCGCAUCUACGUUCAUUUAGUGGAUCCGGUGCUGGAAUGGAUAUUGUUGUUUCCAGUGUGAAGGCGUACAUUGGGGCAUUAAAUAAGAUGUUAGCUUUUAAGCGGCAGUUGCCAACGGCAAGAGUCUCUGCAGAUAGAACCCCCCCGUAUCCGCAUGAUGAAGCAGUUUGUGCAAACCCAGUGUAGUGCGUGCCAAUUCGCCUUUUUUAUUAUGUUGAAAUAGAGCAGAAGUGCUUUUAUGUAGAAGUUUUUGUGCAGGAAACCAGACCAAAUUUUAGCUGCUAGGUGGGACAGGAAACUUCAAGCCUCCAGUAUUGGUGUUGUGGAAGACUUCUUUUCAUCACCUACUGCUGAAAGUUUUGAAUGAGUUAUUGGGUCUGGUAGAAUUUUCCUUUUCUUUUUUUAUUGUGUUGGGGACUGACUCACACUAAUGGUGAAUAAACUAAUUGUUAGCCUUUCUAUUU